CUUAUACUUGAUUGUUUUGAUAAAGUGUAUUUAGAAUAAUAGAAUGGCUUUUCAUUUCAAUCAACAUCUUUUCUUGGGAAUUCUAAUUAUGGUUUUGGCUCUACCAUCAGAACUCGUGGUUGCAAAACUAUUCCCUACAGAAUCGGUAGGAGUGGAUGGUGGACCAAAUUGCAAUGGAUUGAAAUGCAGUUUAGGAACCGAAUUUUGUACAACUUGCUGCAAUGGACAAGGAUCUAAAGAGGGCAAAUGUGUUCCAAAAGGAGCAUUUUUUGUUUGUCAAUGUCAAUAGAGUUACAAUAUUGUAUCAAUUUUAAUGAGAAAACUAAAUAAAAUGCAUGUUUUAAAUAUUAA
Molecule: long non-coding RNA, 351 nt
Organism: Vigna unguiculata (cowpea)
Lineage: Eukaryota; Viridiplantae; Streptophyta; Magnoliopsida; Fabales; Fabaceae
Source: RefSeq, a predicted model, not a curated record